UACGGGGGGGGCAAGCGUUGUUCGGAUUUACUGGGCGUAAAGGGCGCGUAGGCGGCGCAACAAGUCACUUGUGAAAUCUCCGGGCUUAACUCGGAGCGGCCAAGUGAUACUGUCGUGCUAGAGUGCGGAAGGGGCAACUGGAAUUCUCGGUGUAGCGGUGAAAUGCGUAGAUAUCGAGAGGAACACCUGCGGCGAAGGCGGGUUGCUGGGCCGACACUGACGCUGAGGCGCGAAAGCUAGGGGAGCGAACGGG
This 253-nucleotide ribosomal RNA is filed under the name uncultured bacterium. RNAcentral's name for it is "partial 16S ribosomal RNA". It matches the Rfam family "Bacterial small subunit ribosomal RNA", at positions 524 to 776 of the family's 1533-position model. The record is from RNAcentral.